UAAAUUUUGCUAUGGAACUCUGGAAUUGGGUCUACUUAUGUCACUGCAUCCUUUUCCAGCACAGGCAACCAGCUGGCAGAAGCCUGGUGUACAGGAGACUGGAGAGCACCUCUGCACACCAGCAUCCUUGUGGUUCUGGAGAACAGCCUGUGGAGUGAGUCACUUGGACUUUACAAGGUCAGUGUGAUCUCCCAAAAGUUCUCCAGUUCCAUUGCAGCAAUCAGCUCUCCUGCCUGCUCAGAACAUGAUGCCUCCAUCAGCCCAAUUUGAUGUCCUACUCAAGGGCUGACCCUGA
This 295-nucleotide long non-coding RNA is filed under the name Cyanistes caeruleus (blue tit). RNAcentral describes it as "lncRNA (ENSCCEG00000011308.1)". Lineage: Eukaryota; Metazoa; Chordata; Aves; Passeriformes; Paridae. The record is from RNAcentral.